GGAACAAACACGACCCAUUCAGUCAG
RNAcentral lists this unclassified non-coding RNA (26 nucleotides) under Mus musculus (house mouse). Its description in RNAcentral is "oocyte_clustered_small_RNA2234". The record is from RNAcentral. Lineage: Eukaryota; Metazoa; Chordata; Mammalia; Rodentia; Muridae.